RNAcentral lists this ribosomal RNA (449 nucleotides) under uncultured bacterium. RNAcentral describes it as "partial 16S ribosomal RNA". It matches the Rfam family "Bacterial small subunit ribosomal RNA", at positions 29 to 523 of the family's 1533-position model. The record is from RNAcentral.
AACGAACGCUGGCGGCAUGCCUAACACAUGCAAGUCGAACGAGACCUUCGGGUCUAGUGGCGCACGGGUGCGUAACACGUGGGAAUCUGCCCUUCGGUUCGAAAUAACAGAGAGAAAUUUCUGCUAAUACCGGAUGAUGACGUAAGUCCAAAGAUUUAUCGCCGAAGGAUGAGCCCGCGUAGGAUUAGGUAGUUGGUGGGGUAAUGGCCCACCAAGCCGACGAUCCUUAGCUGGUCUGAGAGGAUGAUCAGCCACACUGGGACUGAGACACGGCCCAGACCCCUACGGGAGGCAGCAGUGGGGAAUAUUGGACAAUGGGCGAAAGCCUGAUCCAGCAAUGCCGCGUGAGUGAUGAAGGCCUUAGGGUUGUAAAGCUCUUUUACCAGGGAUGAUAAUGACAGUACCUGGAGAAUAAGCUCCGGCUAACUCCGUGCCAGCAGCCGCCGUAA